Molecule: transfer RNA, 72 nt
Filed under: Armillaria ostoyae
Lineage: Eukaryota; Fungi; Basidiomycota; Agaricomycetes; Agaricales; Physalacriaceae
Rfam family: tRNA
About the family: Transfer RNA (tRNA) molecules are approximately 80 nucleotides in length. Their secondary structure includes four short double-helical elements and three loops (D, anti-codon, and T loops).
Source: RNAcentral
GGUUUGAUAGUCUAGUAGUAUGAUUCCUUGUUAGGGUCGAGGAGGUCCUGGGUUCAAUUCCCAGUCAAGCUC